This 490-nucleotide ribosomal RNA is filed under the name uncultured bacterium. RNAcentral's name for it is "partial 16S ribosomal RNA". It matches the Rfam family "Bacterial small subunit ribosomal RNA", at positions 30 to 507 of the family's 1533-position model. The record is from RNAcentral.
AUUGAACGCUGGCGGCAGGCCUAACACAUGCAAGUCGAACGGUAACAGGAAGAAGCUUGCUACUUUGCUGACGAGUGGCGGACGGGUGAGUAAUGUCUGGGAAACUGCCUGAUGGAGGGGGAUAACUACUGGAAACGGUAGCUAAUACCGCAUAACGUCGCAAGACCAAAGAGGGGGACCUUCGGGCCUCUUGCCAUCGGAUGUGCCCAGAUGGGAUUAGCUAGUAGGUGGGGUAACGGCUCACCUAGGCGACGAUCCCUAGCUGGUCUGAGAGGAUGACCAGCCACACUGGAACUGAGACACGGUCCAGACUCCUACGGGAGGCAGCAGUGGGGAAUAUUGCACAAUGGGCGCAAGCCUGAUGCAGCCAUGCCGCGUGUAUGAAGAAGGCCUUCGGGUUGUAAAGUACUUUCAGCGGGGAGGAAGGGAGUAAAGUUAAUACCUUUGCUCAUUGACGUUACCCGCAGAAGAAGCACCGGCUAACUCCGUG